GGAAAAGGAGAUGGCAGAAAUCUAGUUUUACUGCAGAGGAACGAGGAUGAGACUUUAAUUCUGCCUUGAGGAGGACCACUGGGAAGGUUUCAUAGAAGAAGCUUCGCGAAAGAAGAUUGGCGUUGAAAACAGUGAUAGAAUCUUGAUGUUAGAAGGAAGAUGAGCGAGCAAAUGAAGAAAUAGCGUAAAUAAAAGGAAAAGGAGGCAAAAAUACAAGGCUUCUCCGGUGAGCACUGCGAGGUGUCACAUGGCCCAAAGGCAUUGUGCUGUGAGACUGGUGUCGUGGCCAAGGCCGGUUCACGGAGGCCUUGAAUGCCUUGCCAGGAAGUUCGAUAUUAUUUUGAAAUCCGUAAGAAAAAACGGAAGUGGCUUUGGUUUUUAAAGUUAAAACUCACUUUUCCAAAGAUCACACCAGGAAGAUUAAUGGCAGCAGUGGGUAUCAGUGUGGGUAGGGCAGAGAACCAUCAGGGAACUGAGGCAGCUGGCCAGAUGGCAAAGCGUAAUGACCUCAGUGACGGUGACAAUGUAGAGUUCACAUUGGGAGGCCUCAUGGAGCCGACAUUCCCAGCCAGCCAGGCCAUCUCAUCAGAAAUCCUGGAUUCCAGAAUGGGCUCUCAACAAACAAUCUCCCAUCUUGUCUCUCCCGCCACACCCACAGCUGCCUCCUUUCCAGCUGCCUUCUGGCCCCUUGAUGUCUGCAGCCUCACCCCUCAGACCGACAGGUCCCGCCCUUGUUCCCAGCCUCCGGCUGCACCCAGAGCUCUGUGGCAUCUGGUGGAGGUGAUGUGGCCUGGGACUCAGGCUCGUUCACCCUCAGGCACUAUUCCCUGAGCCGUCCCUGUGAGAAUCACCUUGCUGGCCCUCUCAUCUGGAAUGUCAGCUGCGUGUCACUCACUCCCGGGGAGCCCCCUCCUCGUUUCACUCCUACACGCUCUGUCACAGCCUUUAGGACACAUCCUCCGAGAAGCAGGACCAUCCCCUUCAUUCCCUUCUUCCCCUCCCACUAAGUCAUGGAGCCCUGGAGCACCUGCAGCAAUGAAUCAUUUUCUGUGCUUGUGUCAUCCUGCCCCACCAGUGCAUUCUAGUGCACAGACGCUCUUCAGCUCAUAAUGGGGCUAUAUCCCAAGGGGUCCAGCAUUAGUUGAAAAUAGCGUAGGUCAAAAAUGCAUUUAAUACACUUAAUCUGUGGAACAUUGGAGCUUAACCUGGUCUACCUUAAAUGUGCUUGGAACAUUUAACAUUAGCCCCUGCUAGGCAAAAAUCAUCUAACAAAGCCUGUUUUAUAGUAAAGUGUUGCAUACAUCAUGUAAUUUGCUGCACACUGUACUGAAAGUGAAAAACAGAAUAACUGCACGGCUGCUCACAUUAACACACACAGCUGAAAAGACCAGCACGUGGUUGGAAACUCACAAGUCCAACCAUCCAAAGUUAGGGUCUGUCUGCCUGUACGCACCUUCCAAGUCUCUGCUACAAGUAGUGACAAGAUCUUGGGCC
RNAcentral lists this long non-coding RNA (1494 nucleotides) under Fukomys damarensis (Damara mole-rat). Its description in RNAcentral is "lncRNA (ENSFDAG00000029847.1)". The record is from RNAcentral. Lineage: Eukaryota; Metazoa; Chordata; Mammalia; Rodentia; Bathyergidae.